This 253-nucleotide ribosomal RNA is filed under the name uncultured bacterium. Its description in RNAcentral is "partial 16S ribosomal RNA". It matches the Rfam family "Bacterial small subunit ribosomal RNA", at positions 524 to 776 of the family's 1533-position model. The record is from RNAcentral.
UACGAAGGGGGCUAGCGUUGCUCGGAAUUACUGGGCGUAAAGGGCGCGUAGGCGGCUUGAUCAGUCGGGCGUGAAAUCCCUGGGCUCAACCUGGGGGCUGCGCCCGAUACGGUCAGGCUUGAGGACGGAAGAGGCUCGCGGAAUUCCCAGUGUAGAGGUGAAAUUCGUAGAUAUUGGGAAGAACACCGGUGGCGAAGGCGGCGAGCUGGUCCGUUACUGACGCUGAGGCGCGACAGCGUGGGGAGCAAACAGG